This 1186-nucleotide ribosomal RNA is filed under the name Haptophyta environmental samples. RNAcentral describes it as "SSU rRNA". It matches the Rfam family "Eukaryotic small subunit ribosomal RNA", at positions 429 to 1643 of the family's 1831-position model. Lineage: Eukaryota; Haptophyta. The record is from RNAcentral.
CAGGCGCGUAAAUUGCCCGAAUCCUGACACAGGGAGGUAGUGACAAGAAAUAACAAUACAGGGCUACUUUUAGUCUUGUAAUUGGAAUGAGUACAAUUUACAUCUCUUCACGAGGAUCAAUUGGAGGGCAAGUCUGGUGCCAGCAGCCGCGGUAAUUCCAGCUCCAAUAGCGUAUAUUAAAGUUGUUGCAGUUAAAAAGCUCGUAGUCGGAUUUCGGGGCGGGGCGACCGGUCUGCCGAUGGGUAUGCACUGGUCGGCGCGUCCUUCCUUCCGGAGACCGUGCCUACUCUUAACUGAGCGGGGGCGGGAGACGGAUCGUUUACUUUGAAAAAAUCAGAGUGUUUCAAGCAGGCGUCUCGCCUUUGCAUGGAUUAGCAUGGGAUAAUGAAAUAGGACUCUGGUGCUAUUUUGUUGGUUUCGAACACCGGAGUAAUGAUUAACAGGGACAGUCAGGGGCACUCGUAUUCCGUCGAGAGAGGUGAAAUUCUCAGACCAAUGGAAGACGAACCACUGCGAACGCAUUUGCCAGGGAUGUUUUCACUGAUCAAGAACGAAAGUUAGGGGAUCGAAGACGAUCAGAUACCGUCGUAGUCUUAACCAUAAACCAUGCCGACUAGGGAUUGGAGGGUGUUCGUUUUGACCUCUUCAGCACCUUACGGGAAACUAAAGUCUUUGGGUUCCGGGGGGAGUAUGGUCGCAAGGCUGAAACUUAAAGGAAUUGACGGAAGGGCACCACCAGGAGUGGAGCCUGCGGCUUAAUUUGACUCAACACGGGGAAACUUACCAGGUCCAGACAUUGGAAGGAUCGACAGAUUGAGAGCUCUUUCUUGAUUCGAUGGGUGGUGGUGCAUGGGCCGUUCUUAGUUGGUGGAGUGAUUUGUCUGGUUAAUUCCGUUAACGAACGAGAUCUUAGCCUGCUAAAUAGUUCCGGUAACUUCUUGUUGGCGGUCAACUUCUUAGAGGGGCAACUUGUGAACAACAAGUGGAAGUUUGAGGCAAUAACAGGUCUGUGAUGCCCUUAGAUGUUCUGGGCCGCACGCGCGCUACACUGAAGCAUUCAACGAGUCCACCUCGACCGACAGGUCUGGGAAACCUUUUGAAAUUGCUUCGUGAUGGGGAUAGAUUAUUGCAACUAUUAAUCUUCAACGAGGAAUUCCUAGUAAGCGCAUGUCAUCAGCGCGCGUUG